Molecule: ribosomal RNA, 207 nt
Filed under: uncultured bacterium
Lineage: Bacteria
Description: partial 16S ribosomal RNA
Rfam family: Bacterial small subunit ribosomal RNA
Source: RNAcentral
AGCGUAGACGGAUGGACAAGUCUGAUGUGAAAGGCUGGGGCUCAACCCCGGGACUGCAUUGGAAACUGCCCGUCUUGAGUGCCGGAGAGGUAAGCGGAAUUCCUAGUGUAGCGGUGAAAUGCGUAGAUAUUAGGAGGAACACCAGUGGCGAAGGCGGCUUACUGGACGGUAACUGACGUUGAGGCCCGAAAGCGUGGGGAGCAAACA